UGGGCCCUACGGGAGGCAGCAGUGGGGAAUAUUGCACAAUGGGGGAAACCCUGAUGCAGCGACGCCGCGUGAGUGAAGAAGUAAUUCGUUAUGUAAAGCUCUAUCAGCAGGGAAGAAAAUGACGGUACCUGAGUAAGAAGCCCCGGCUAACUACGUGCCAGCAGCCGCGGUAAUACGUAGGGGGCAAGCGUUAUCCGGAUUUACUGGGUGUAAAGGGAGCGUAGACGGCAGGGCAAGCCUGGAGUGAAAGGCGGGGGCUCAACCACCGGACUGAUGUGGAAACUGUAAGGCU
RNAcentral lists this ribosomal RNA (292 nucleotides) under uncultured bacterium. Its description in RNAcentral is "partial 16S ribosomal RNA". It matches the Rfam family "Bacterial small subunit ribosomal RNA", at positions 332 to 642 of the family's 1533-position model. The record is from RNAcentral.